Molecule: unclassified non-coding RNA, 239 nt
Filed under: Hevea brasiliensis (rubber tree)
Lineage: Eukaryota; Viridiplantae; Streptophyta; Magnoliopsida; Malpighiales; Euphorbiaceae
Source: RNAcentral
GCUCUUCUCAAUUAAUUUUCUUCUUAAAAUUUAUUUUAAAAAGUUAAAAAAGAAAGGGGAAAAAAUCCUGACAUGAAAAAUAGAGAAGAAAGGCAGUACACAGUAAAUCGGAAUGAAAAAUUAAAUAUUGAAGCUAGUUAUCGCAUAACCAUUUUUAUUAUCAUGUAAACUUCCUUUUAUUUUUAGAUAAACCAAAACAUGAACGUCUUAAUUAGUCUAAUAAAUAGCAAGAGUUUAAG